Molecule: non-coding RNA, 2820 nt
Organism: Durio zibethinus
Lineage: Eukaryota; Viridiplantae; Streptophyta; Magnoliopsida; Malvales; Malvaceae
Source: RefSeq, a predicted model, not a curated record
CAUUCACUCUCUCUAUAUUAGCUUCUGCGUUCUCUAAUCCGUGCUUUCCCCUCACCUUUUUUUUUUUUUUAAUCCCUUCUUUGCUUCUUAGAAGAGCAAACCCAGACAGAGCCAUGCCAAAAUAAACCAAAAUAAAAACUGUUUUUAUGACAUUUUUUUUUACAUGUUUUUGUUUUAUCUUCCAUCAUCAUCAUAGCAGUAAUUUUUGUGUCCAAAUUUGGUUUUGAAGCUUCAGGUUUUGGAAUGGUUUUCUUUUUUGAUUGGGAAAGAAUUGAGUGGCAUAUGGUUCAGGUGAUACAGCAGCAGCUGGGGAAAUCUAAAAAGAGAUAGUGAAGAGAAUUAUGAAGAUAAUAAAGGGUUUUAUGGUGAGUUGGUUUUGGAUUAAGGCUUUGGGGUCAUUGGGGGAGUGAUUAAGGAGAAAACCCUAAGUCUUUUUCCUACUCAUUCUCAUAUCUAAAAUGGGUUUCCAGAAAAGAUUAAAAAUGAUAACAGAUCUGCACUGAAAGGAGUGAUCUAAUCUCUGUAUAAAGCAGCAGUAGGGGGUUUAGCUUUAUCUUUUUCCCAUUUAGAGGAUUGCUAUGAUUUCACUUUUUGUUUUCACUUUUUGGCCAUUUAUACCAGCGCAUUUUAGCUAAUGAUGGUAAGAAGUGGAUAAUAAGAGAGGGACACAAAGAGAGACUGACAGAAGAGAGUGAGCACACACAGGCAAUCGUAUGGAAGUCACACCUUUGCCGGUGUGUGCUCACUUCUCUUCUGUCAGUUAUUCAGCUUUGCACUUUGUUCCCUCAACAAAUCACAAUAUUUAUUUGUUAAUUAUAUAAAUAUCCCUCGCUGCUUCUUCUUCUUCUUCUUCAAUCUCCAGAUGACACCUCACAGUAUCGAUUUUGCCAGAUGUUUUUGUUUUUGUUUACAUCCGUCCACAUGUCAUUCGCUCUGGAACUCUCUUUCUUUUCGGAUAAGAAAUAGCUACUGAUCACAAACAAGUACACGAGAAAAAGAAAAGAGAAAAAGAGAUAAGAACGCAGGGUUUUUUGUUGUUAAAACAUCAUCAAAUGGUACCUUUUCUACAAACCCUCUGAAACCUUUUCGUUUGAUUGAUCAGACAGAGAUUGAAAUCCUCAUAUUUAUGUGGGUGAGAUAAGUCAAUAAAUAAGAGAGUUGGCAAAGAGUAAGAUUCUUUGCUUUUUUGGGGGGGUUAUCAUUUAUCAACAAUACUUACUAUUUUCUGUGCCUUUUAGUAUUCCAUUUUGCGUUUAAAUUUUGCUGCUCUUGUUUUUGGGAAUAUUUUAUGCUAUUCAAAUAACAAGAAUUUUGUGAUGGUGCUUUAAAAGAAAGCGUGACUUUUGAUGGUCCUCUCUUUGAAGAGGACGAAGUGGCUUCUUCGAUGGUACGCCUACUCGCUGUUCCCAUUUUAACGGAAACCUUACCGGUAUCUCGGAAUUUUUUUUCAUUCACGUUCUCAUUUUUUUUCCUUGGUUUAAAACCCUUCUUUUCCUCUUCAUCUUCAUCUUAAUCUUCCUGUUUUCUUGGAGUCCUGCAAGGUAAAGGCUGUCUUUGACUUGUGUUCUUAGUUUCUUAUCUUUAAUCUGGCUCUGAUUUUGGGUUUUUUUUUGUUUGUUUGUUUUCUUCUGGUAUUCCUGAGUUUUGACCCCAAUACAAGCUGAUAAUUUUUGGAUUUUUAUUCAGAUAUAUAUAUAUAUAUUUAAUUUUAUUGUCGAACUAUGGAAGCUUUUAACUAUAUUUGGGCUUUCCCAAGGUUUUAGAUCUGGUACUAUUGGCUACUUUCUUUGCAGUUACUGAAAAUCUUGGGCCACUCUACUCCUUAUGGUAGAAUGGGAAGUCAUCUUUUUCUUAUUUUCUGCUAAAAUAUGCACUAUUUCCUUUUCAUCUUUGAAAGAAUGGUAGCAGAAAAUUUCCUAAUGCAGCACCUUGUUUGGAAUUGGGAGGCAAUGAACUGUUUCAAUUUUGCACUGUUUAAUCAAUAAUCAUCCAGAAUCAUAAUGGGAGAACGAAAUGUUCAACAUGAAUUGUAACUCGCAAUUCUCAUGGAAGCAUCUGCGUAAUUCAUCCAUGAAAUUCGAAGGUAAUAUGGAAUUUGCAUGGUGCAACAUCACUACUGAAAAAGAAAACCUCUCUGAAUGCUCAUUUCUAUAAUGACUGCUACAAACUAUUCUUUUAGGACAAACCGGUGUUGGUAAGGCAUUUCAUGUCGGCAAAAGAUGUGCUGGAACAUACUACUUUACCCCAGUUCUGGGGAUGGGACGAGAUCUAACAUGUCGAUUUUUGCAAUAAAUUUUAUGAUGGCUAUAGCAGUCGAAAUUAUGUGUUCAUGACAGGGUCGAAGGUGGUUUAUGAGAUGUAGAGGUGGAAGAUGUUCAUCAUGAUUGAUGCUUUUCAAGUGUGAAAGUAAAUAGUCAAAACUUUGUUACUUUUAACAUUGUUUCCUUUUUAUUAGUACUUGUCUAUUAGUAGUAUUUAAUUAUAGAGACUUGAAGUGAAACACGUAUGUGCUUGUGAAAAAUGAAAUCCUUGAUAAUUACUUGAUGAACUUUUGUGUUUCUCUUUUACAUUGUCUUCUGUGGAUUAGAGAAGGGAUUGUAUAUACUGUAAGAAUGAUAGUAUGAACCAAUUAAGUUAAACUUCAAGUGUAUAACUUGAUGCGUUUUGAUUGUGAUUGUUUCUUACCAACAUUACUUUUUUUCCCUACUAGCAAUUAUUUUGUGACUGGAGUUUGGGGUUUGGAAAGGCAUAGGAAAGGCUGAGCCACGCCCUUCCAUCCUAACAUUCUUCUUGUCUCUUGUAGUUUUGCCUUAGUUAUUU